RNAcentral lists this ribosomal RNA (264 nucleotides) under uncultured archaeon. Its description in RNAcentral is "partial 16S ribosomal RNA". It matches the Rfam family "Archaeal small subunit ribosomal RNA", at positions 717 to 982 of the family's 1478-position model. The record is from RNAcentral.
AGACGUCUACAUUAGAUACCCGCGUAGUCCCAGCCGUAAACUAUGCGCGUUAGGUGUAUCGGUGACCACGAGUUACCGAGGUGCCAAAGGGAAACCGUGAAACGUGCCGCCUGGGAAGUACGGUCGCAAGGCUGAAACUUAAAGGAAUUGGCGGGGAGCACCACAACAGGUGGAGCCUGCGGUUUAAUUGGACUCAACGCCGGGAAGCUCACCGGAUAGGACAGCAGAAUGAUUGCCGGGCUGAAGACCCUGCAUGACUAGCUG